CCUACGGGUGGCAGCAGUCGAGAAUCAUUCACAAUGGGGGAAACCCUGAUGGUGCGACGCCGCGUGGGCGAAUGAAUGUCUUCGGAUUGUAAACCCCUGUCAUGUGGGAGCAAAUGACAAAGAUAGUACCACAAGAGGAAGCGACGGCUAACUCUGUGCCAGCAGCAGCGGGAAUACAGCGGGCUCAAGCGUUGUUCGGAUUCACUGGGCGUAAAGCGUGCGUAGGCUGGUGCGUAAGUCGUGUGUGAAAGGCGCGGGCUCAACCCCCGGACGGCACAUGAUACUGCGAGACUAGAGUGAUGGAGGGGCAACCGGAAUUCUCGGUGUAGCAGUGAAAUGCGUAGAUAUCGAGAGGAACACUAGUGGCGAAGGCGGGCUGCUGGACAUUAACUGACGUUGAGGCACGAAGGCCAGGGGAGCGAAAGGGAUUAGAUACCCCUGUAGUC
This 446-nucleotide ribosomal RNA is filed under the name uncultured bacterium. RNAcentral's name for it is "partial 16S ribosomal RNA". It matches the Rfam family "Bacterial small subunit ribosomal RNA", at positions 338 to 795 of the family's 1533-position model. The record is from RNAcentral.